GGGGAUCUAGAGUGUGCGAGAGGUAUGCGGAAUGCGUGGUGUAGCGGUGAAAUGCAUAGAUAUCACGCAGAACCCCGAUUGCGAAGGCAGCAUACCGGUGCACAACUGACGCUCAGGCACGAAAGCGUGGGUAUCGAACAGGAUUAGAUACCCUGGUAGUCCACGCAGUAAACGAUGAAUGCUACCUGUUUGGCCAGAUUGAAGGCUGAGCGGGACAGCGAAAGCGUUAAGCAUUCCACCUGGGGAGUACGCCGGCAACGGUGAAACUCAAAGGAAUUGACGGGGGCCCGCACAAGCGGAGGAACAUGUGGUUUAAUUCGAUGAUACGCGAGGAACCUUACCCGGGCUCAAACGCAUAAUGACGACAGUUGAAAGAUUGUUUCCCUUCGGGGCAUUAUGCGAGGUGCUGCAUGGUUGUCGUCAGCUCGUGCCGUGAGGUGUCGGCUUAAGUGCCAUAACGAGCGCAACCCCUAUCGACAGUUGCUAACGAGUCGAGUCGAGGACUCUGUCGAGACUGCCGGCGCAAGCUGUGAGGAAGGCGGGGAUGACGUCAAAUCAGCACGGCCCUUACGUCCGGGGCGACACACGUGUUACAAUGGCAGGGACAGCGGGAAGCCACCAAGCGAUUGGGCGCGGAACCCGAAACCCUGUCUCAGUUCGGAUUGGAGUCUGCAACUCGACUCCAUGAAGCUGGAUUCGCUAGUAAUCGCGCAUCAGCCAUGGCGCGGUGAAUACGUUCCCGGGCCUUGUACACACCGCCCGUCAAGCCAUGGGAGUCGGGAGUGCCUGAAGUUCGUGACCGUAUAGGAGCGACCUAGGGCAAGACUGAUGACUGGGGCUAAGUCGUAACAAGGUAACCGUAA
RNAcentral lists this ribosomal RNA (863 nucleotides) under uncultured bacterium. RNAcentral describes it as "bacterial SSU rRNA". It matches the Rfam family "Bacterial small subunit ribosomal RNA", at positions 635 to 1505 of the family's 1533-position model. The record is from RNAcentral.